AUUUAAUAAAAAUAAAAUUAAAUAAAUAACAAUAAAAUUAAUAAUAAUAAUAAUAAUAAUAAUAAAUUAAAAAUUAUCGGGCGUUACAUCUUCAGUUAUUGGGCAGGAUAGUGUUAGAAUACUCUGAAUAGUGGCUGAAGGCCUUGGGCAGUUUGAAGAUGCCUGACUAAACCCUUAGAGAGGGACAAUUAAAUAUGCUUCUUAAAAUAACUCCAGGGUGUUGUAGCAACGAAGUACAAAUUCAUGGCACUUUUCCUGGUGAAACUUGCUAAUUUGUAUGGUUUUACAGGUUCAAUUAGGGUGGGCCAUGAAGCAAAAAAGUAAUGGUUGAAGAAGGUGAGGUAAUCAACUCGAUUGACAAUAAUGUUGAAGAUUGAGUUUUCUGAGGAAUAAGGAGU
This 398-nucleotide long non-coding RNA is filed under the name Carica papaya (papaya). RNAcentral's name for it is "long non-coding RNA (CPAP_LNC000526)". Lineage: Eukaryota; Viridiplantae; Streptophyta; Magnoliopsida; Brassicales; Caricaceae. The record is from RNAcentral.